GAGUUCACUGGCUCUCAAAUUAAAGGGGGGGUGGUAUUCUUUUCAGGCACAACACAAUCAGCAUUCUUGUAUCUGCUCAUUCUCUUUGCACUGAAAUCUGUGAAAAACUCCAUCGGCCAUAACAGGAACCGGCUAAAAGAGUGUGCCGAGCUCUCAGCUCCCCACUGGAACUUCUCACAACAUCACCAAUCUUUUCAACAGGGCUUGGUGCCUUUAACAACAGGUAUUGCUUCCAUGUGGCAUUUGAAUUACCAAGGGUGUCCUGUACUCCAUAUGAGGUUUCACAGUUCAGUCACAGCUGUGGAUUCUUGCUUCCAGAGAGAUGAGAGGAAUAUGCUCCCUGAGAGAGAUCUGGGAUCUCAGGGAACAAGAGCUACUAACCUAGCAACCAUACAAGGCACAGUGAGUGUUUUCUAGGAAAUGCACUUCUUCUCUACUGGAGAUUUUGUCACAUGAUUUUUUUUCUGCAGAUAUUGGAAGUUCUGAACUAAUGCUUGUUAGCAAAGUCCUUAUGAUGUGGGGGUGAGGUUCUUGACUCCUGACAACAGCUGUUUGUAAAGGCUGUACAACUUCUCCAAGAAGUUUCUCUUCUCAACCAAAUCCCUUCUGCCAUCAGCUUUCCUCAGAACAGUGUGUCUCUCUUCUUCUUUUGCUUGCGGUGCGAGACUUCCAGGAAACGAGGCGAGGCGGGAGCCAACCCCUCUGGGGACAGCUGUCCAACCAAGAGGAAGGGAGUGAGAUUCUAAGAGGAGCCUAAUUCUUUAAAGGAAGCAGCUGCUUUGGGUGAUUCCAGGGAUUCUGCGGUGUGAAGGACAGCAAGAGAGCAAGACAUAGCCAUCCAUAGAAGAGCAACAAUAUUAAUGAUAAAAAAUACCUACACCUACAGAAACACAAACAAGGCAGGACUGAGAGGCAGCCAUGGGCUAAACAUAGGUCCAGAGAGGUCUUACCCUUUGGAAGGCUCAAAGCUCUCAUUUUAUGUCUGACUUCCAAGGCCCGACCUGUAUGGACGUAUUUGGAACAGAGUCAAACCAACGACUACAAAUGCACACACAGGCAAAGAAAGCAAGCUUUUGAAGAGGACCUUUCUAGGCAUCAGAUCACACACUGAGGCAAAUUGGUAAUGGCUUCCUCUUAAAAUGGUUAUUCCUGCAGGCAAGCAAAUCUUUCAGCACUGUAUAACUCAGACACCAGAGAUGGGAAAGAAGCCCUGUUAUCUCUCAAUUGACUAAUUACAAAACAAAAGCAAGCUAAUUUGCCAAAUGUGCAUUGUGGCAAGGUCAUGUCAAAAUAAGCAGGCAGUCUUUUGCUCUUAAAGGCCCACCGUUUCUCCCCAUGGAAGCUUUGUCUUGUCUAGCGAGGCCUCAAGGGGGAAGCAGGAAGAGGAUGGUGGUGGGCAGAGUGCGUACUCUAUUUG
This 1417-nucleotide long non-coding RNA is filed under the name Pogona vitticeps (central bearded dragon). RNAcentral's name for it is "lncRNA (ENSPVIG00000024176.1)". Lineage: Eukaryota; Metazoa; Chordata; Lepidosauria; Squamata; Agamidae. The record is from RNAcentral.